RNAcentral lists this ribosomal RNA (460 nucleotides) under uncultured bacterium. Its description in RNAcentral is "partial 16S ribosomal RNA". It matches the Rfam family "Bacterial small subunit ribosomal RNA", at positions 338 to 795 of the family's 1533-position model. The record is from RNAcentral.
CCUACGGGCGGCAGCAGUGAGGAAUAUUGGUCAAUGGACGCAAGUCUGAACCAGCCAUGCCGCGUGCAGGAAGACGGCUCUAUGAGUUGUAAACUGCUUUUGUACGAGGAUAAACGCAGAUACGCGUAUCUGUCUGCAAGUAUCGUACGAAUAAGGAUCGGCUAACUCCGUGCCAGCAGCCGCGGUAAUACGGAGGAUUCAAGCGUUAUCCGGAUUUAUUGGGUUUAAAGGGUGCGUAGGCGGUCGGAUAAGUUAGAGGUGAAAUCCCGAGGCUCAACUCCGGAAUUGCCUCUGAUACUGGUCGGCUAGAGAGUAGUUGCGGUAGGCGGAAUGUAUGGUGUAGCGGUGAAAUGCUUAGAGAUCAUACAGAACCCCGAUUGCGAAGGCAGCUUACCAAGGUACUUCUGACGUUGAGGCACGAAAGCGCGGGGAGCAAACAGGAUUAGAUACCCCUGUAGUC